RNAcentral lists this ribosomal RNA (383 nucleotides) under uncultured eukaryote. RNAcentral's name for it is "partial 18S ribosomal RNA". It matches the Rfam family "Eukaryotic small subunit ribosomal RNA", at positions 592 to 976 of the family's 1831-position model. The record is from RNAcentral.
CAAUAGCGUAUAUUAAAGUUGUUGCAGUUAAAAAGCUCGUAGUUGGAUUUCUGGUGGGAGCGAUCGGUCUGGCGCUUAGCGCGAGUACUUGCAUCGUCUCCGGCCAUCCUUGGGGAGAGUCUGUCUGGCAUUAAGUUGUCGGGCAGAGGAUCCUCAUCGUUUACUGUGAAAAAAUUAGAGUGUUCAAAGCAGGCUUAUGCCGUUGAAUAUAUUAGCAUGGAAUAAUAAGAUAGGACCUUGGUACUAUUUUGUUGGUUUGCGCACCAAAGUAAUGAUUAAUAGGGACAGUUGGGGGUAUUCGUAUUCCGUUGUCAGAGGUGAAAUUCUUGGAUUUACGGAAGACGAACUACUGCGAAAGCAUUUACCAAGGAUGUUUUCAUUAA